RNAcentral lists this ribosomal RNA (465 nucleotides) under Vreelandella stevensii. Its description in RNAcentral is "partial 16S ribosomal RNA". It matches the Rfam family "Bacterial small subunit ribosomal RNA", at positions 338 to 795 of the family's 1533-position model. Lineage: Bacteria; Pseudomonadati; Pseudomonadota; Gammaproteobacteria; Oceanospirillales; Halomonadaceae. The record is from RNAcentral.
CCUACGGGAGGCAGCAGUGGGGAAUAUUGGACAAUGGGGGCAACCCUGAUCCAGCCAUGCCGCGUGUGUGAAGAAGGCCCUCGGGUUGUAAAGCACUUUCAGUGAGGAAGAACGCCUGGUGGUUAAUACCCAUCAGGAAAGACAUCACUCACAGAAGAAGCACCGACUAACUCCGUGCCAGCAGCCGCGGUAAUACGGAGGGUGCGAGCGUUAAUCGGAAUUACUGGGCGUAAAGCGCGCGUAGGUGGCUUGAUAAGCCGGUUGUGAAAGCCCCGGGCUCAACCUGGGAACGGCAUCCGGAACUGUCAAGCUAGAGUGCAGGAGAGGAAGGUAGAAUUCCCGGUGUAGCGGUGAAAUGCGUAGAGAUCGGGAGGAAUACCAGUGGCGAAGGCGGCCUUCUGGACUGACACUGACACUGAGGUGCGAAAGCGUGGGUAGCAAACAGGAUUAGAUACCCUAGUAGUC